CCCUUAGAUGUUCUGGGCCGCACGCGCGCUACACUGAUGCAUUCAACAAGCCUAGCCUUGACCGAGAGGUCCGGGUAAUCUUUGAAACUGCAUCGUGAUGGGGCUAGAUUAUUGCAAUUAUUAAUCUUCAACGAGGAAUGCCUAGUAAGCGUGAUUCAUCAAAUCGCGUUGAUUACGUUCCUGCCCUUUGUACACACCGCCCGUCGCUCCUACCGAUUGAAUGUGUUGGUGAGGAGCUCGGAUUGGCAGCAGUUGGUGGUUCGCCACCGGCUAUUGCUGAGAAGUCCUCCAAACCGCCCCAUUUAGAGGAAGGAGAAGUCGUAACA
Molecule: ribosomal RNA, 326 nt
Filed under: uncultured eukaryote
Lineage: Eukaryota
Description: partial 18S ribosomal RNA
Rfam family: Eukaryotic small subunit ribosomal RNA
Source: RNAcentral